Molecule: long non-coding RNA, 1574 nt
Organism: Megalobrama amblycephala (Wuchang bream)
Lineage: Eukaryota; Metazoa; Chordata; Actinopteri; Cypriniformes; Xenocyprididae
Exons: 7
Source: RefSeq, a predicted model, not a curated record
UGGAGACAAUGGUGUAUAUAGCAGGCAAUGUAGAAAGGAACAGGAUGACCAGCAGCAUGGCCAUGUAGAAGUUAUUGGAGCCUGAAGCUUUGAAGACCCGUUCCUGAGGCACAUUACAGCACAUCACCGCCCAACAUUGCAGAUCAUUCCCUGGUUGAAGAUCAGCCCCAGAACAUUCCCACUGACGUCAAACUCUGAGUAGGAUGGCUAAUGAAGAAAGCACACUUCAGUUAUAAAUGAGAGGGAAUCCUUGAUACUGACUUCUGCAUGUGCUGUGGAUACUCACAAAGCCAAACUCCAAAUCCCAGCACCAGCAGUUGUUUAGGAAUCGCACCAGUACGGCACGGAAGAAAUCCCCAAUAAGCAGAGUGAUUACCUGUCCCACCAUUGUCUCCCAGCAGGGCCCUCUGGGAACAUCAGCAGGGUGCACCGUGAUCGGAAGAGCAGUCGAAUUGUCUGGCACAGUCCCGUUGUACAGAAAUACUGAAGAUGAGACUGUGAGGGCUUUAGUCUUUGUUAAAUGAAGCUCUACCUUUAGUUGGAUGGCAUCCAUGAGAGCGAUGAUGAACGUGUAGAGGUUUCCCAGGAAAAGGGCGAAUAUGCGUCCCAGCUGCCACUGGAGGGCGAUGCGUGGAUGAUAGUUCUCUAAAGUGCUGAUUACAUCAAACAGCAUCGGACAGAACAUUCCCAACAGAGACAUCACCAUGUUAACCUGAAGCCGUAGUUCUCUAGUCCCUCCAGAGCGAACUUCUGAGACCUGCGUACUACAAAGUAGAUCAAGUACCCACUCCCUGCCAGACAGCAGAGCACCAGGAAGUUGGCCAGCACUCUAAGGAAUCUUGUCAGAUGCGAUGAGUUUAUGCCGUGGCAUUCUCCUCUUGAGUGGCCUUCACUCUGUGACCUCACGCAUGUGUCCAUGCAUACACAAAGAGCUAGACUGUUUUCAUCGCCUAAAUUUAGCAGCACCGUUUGGGGAUUCCAUCUUCGGAGGAUUGACACAGGCUGUAACUGUAUUCUGAGCAUGUCUCCUUCUCUCAGCUACUGGCACACCUUUCAGAGGAGAAACACAAAAACGUUCCGAUUUUUUUCAUUAUGUCUUAAAGAAAAAGGUUUUUCAAUAUACGUUUACAGUAGAAUCAAACAUUUUGACUAUUAUGAAUUAACAUGUAACAGUACAAAUAAUGCUUAUGAGAACAUAAAGAGCCAUUUAGCGCCAAUAGACGUGACUAAAAACUAUGAGCUGGCAGCUUUCGUUUGUGAAAUGUCUCUCCCAAUAUGUGGCUGUUAUGAGUCACAUUCUAACAGUAGUGUCUCAUCUUUAAAUAUUGUCAUCAGAUGCAGAACCGCCCUCAGGUGAUCAUGUGAGCAGACGACGAGCUGCAUUCCAUUACUCUGAAGAAUCCUAUAGUCAUGAUAUUUAAUACACUCUGGGUGGAUGAAGGUUUAUAUUUAGCCUAUAGAAGAGCCGGUGCCCUGUUACUCUCAGUCAGUAACGGCUCAUUCAGGUUGUAUUCUCGGUACUGCAUGUGCAGGAAAAGAAAGAAGUUGUUUGACUGGAAAGAUGAUUCAUUUCU